UCGUGGGCGUGGAGAAGCAGCGAUUGGUGCUGGGGCGGGCGGUGUUUUGAGUGCGCGCGCGCGCAGGCGGGAGCGCGUACGUCGGCAGCGCGGAAGUUAGGGUCUCGAGGAGGCUGCCACCGGCUGAUCCUUCCUCCGGCGGCCGCCCUCCGUGGCCAGUUGUCGGACUCCGGGAAGUAGGCGCUGAGGGCUCGCCCCCUGCGUAUGUGAGCGCUUCUGUCUCUCUGGCGGCUACGCACGGCUGUCGCUCUGGAGAGACUGAGGAGGAAACGGGGGUGGGAGGGGAUUGCGACUGCAGUGGGACGCGGGAGCGGCGGAAGCACCGCGCUGGAGCGGUCCGGUGGCGUCGCCGGGCUUCCUUGCCCUCCCUCCGCCCGGCCGGGCUGGCUCGGAUCCCCGGGUCGAGCGCGCUGCUGCGUCACACCAGGCAGCCAGGCCGCCACUGUUGAGCAUCUCCGGCCGCCUCCCACGCCCGGGCGAGUGCACGGCCCGAGCUCCCGAGCCGAAGCGAAAGAAUGCGAGCUCAGGUCCCUCCCUGGAGGGCGGAUUAAAGGAUGCCGCGACGAAUCGCAAAAGAACAAAAGCUCUCCAGGGACGCUGGAUAACUUCAAAGCUUAUCCCACACAGUUUGUCUUGGGCAAGACAAAGACGCCAUCAUGGCUAUUUUCUUGCUGCCAAACAACCAGGCUUCCAGCUGGAUGGACUAAAAGUGUUUUGCAACCUUACUUGAAGAUGAUUGUAGACCCAACUGCUUGAUCGCAGCCCUAUGAGACCCGCA
Molecule: long non-coding RNA, 778 nt
Organism: Heterocephalus glaber (naked mole-rat)
Lineage: Eukaryota; Metazoa; Chordata; Mammalia; Rodentia; Bathyergidae
Source: Ensembl